This 391-nucleotide long non-coding RNA is filed under the name Brassica napus (rape). RNAcentral's name for it is "long non-coding RNA (BNAP_LNC008980)". Lineage: Eukaryota; Viridiplantae; Streptophyta; Magnoliopsida; Brassicales; Brassicaceae. The record is from RNAcentral.
GUGUUCCCAUUAAAUCUCUAUUUAUUUGUGUGUGGAUAUGACGUUUUUUGUUUGUGUGUGUGUGGAUAUGACGUUCUUCUUUUGUUUGCUAGAGACACAAAAGAGGAAAGUUGAGGAAUUGGGAUUAACGAGUCGGUCUCGUUUAAUAUCGACUUUAGAGCUUUUACAACGUUUUAGCUUAAUCAUGCAUGCAAUCAUAUAAGUAUGGCAUUAUAUUUUAAUACUAACGUAAACCUUUUUUAUCUGCAGUGUUACCUGUGAACCCUACGAACCCUGUCUACUUGUCGCUGUCUUUAGCCUCCCUAUAAAUUCUCCUUUUUGUUUUGGUGGGUCUUAACCCUAUUGCCCGGUGUCCUCCACGUCUUGUUUUAUGCGAAAACAUUUUUAUAUU